UCUAAGAAAAAUAUUUGAGCUAUAGUAUAUAGAUCAUCGGCCAGACUGCAGAGUAGGGCAGACGCGCCAGAUCUCGUAGGAAACAGACGCACCAAGGAGUCUGGAAAAUAAUUUUUCUUUUUUUCCCCUUAAAACCACGCUUUACAUUAAACAUGUAGACAGCACAAUCAAUACUCAGCAAUAUUGAUCAGACUCGAAAAUUUGGAUCUUGUUUGCUUUUCUCCAAAGGACUUGUGAGUUUGUUUCAAAAGUAAGUGCCUUCUAUCAACUAUAUACGUUUUAAUUGAGGUACUUAUGUGAAAGGUGGCGAUGUAAACUUUACUGUAUUAUAAUGCUUUAUGUGCGAUGUAUUUGUAGCUUUGAUCGCUAAGCAAAAUUGCUGUCUGAUCAUCUUCAUAGUAAAGCCGAUACUUUGCUUAUUACAGAAAAAAUUCUAUGGCGCAGCAAUGUAAAAUGAUAUCAAUCUUUUGCCGUCAUAGUAACAGUGGGGAAGGCAAUCUGAAUGGUAUUAACGUCAUUGUCAAUCAGCAACUGAUGAUAAAUUUUACCUCCAAAUUGAAACAUGAUAUAAAUUGUCUUCACUCUCGAAGAAAUAUGCAACAAUAAAAACGUUGAACGCGACUUUGCGGCGUUUUCGCGCUAUCUGAGGGAAGAAGGAUCGAUAAAUUGGAAAGUAGAAAGGUUUUGCAUGUGGGUGAAGUGAGAUGAAUUACUUCGUAAUUGUGAUCCUCGUUUUCAUACUUAAUCUACGCAUCCUACAGUGUGAAACGUCGUAUGCGAUUGGCAAUUGUGCGGCGUUGACGAACAGACUAAAAUAUGAAUGCCUGCUUAAAGUUGUUGGAGAAAAAGUGAUAUCACGAGAAAAACGGGGUUCUCGCUGGAGAAGGCGACGUCGACGAUAUAGAAGAAGGAGAACAUGUCGUAUCAGAAUUGUGAGAUAUCGAUGCGGACGCAGGAGGAGACGAAGGAAUUAUAGCUACUGAAGUAGUGUGAAGAAUACGAUGGCCGUUGGACUCUAUAUCGUCACACAACAAAUACAUUUUUACGUGAUGACAAUGGGACGUCGGAUCGAUGAAGAACACGACGACCAGCUUGUACGGAAUUUUUGCUAGCCAUUUUCCUAAAAACUAGCACGAAGAGCCACGAAGUACUAAAAAAUGGGCCAAAGAAGUAUAAAAAACACUAAGUUCUUGCAAACAGAAUUCGCAGACCCGAGAUAUGUGUAUAUAUAGAGAAAACAGUACCAUGAGAUUUCGCCAAUAUGCAAAUUUCUUUAUCUAUAUCAAACUUUAGAGGCCACGUGGAAAUAUAGGAACGCGUUUUAUGCUUUAACCAGCAUAGAUUGAAUUCUGUUUUUUUAUUUAUUUAUCGUGCUGAUGGUUUUUAGUGAUAUUAAAUUAUUAUAUAGAAGACAAUAUAACUGUGUUCUAUCGCAAAAUGAA
Molecule: long non-coding RNA, 1442 nt
Organism: Xenia sp. Carnegie-2017
Lineage: Eukaryota; Metazoa; Cnidaria; Anthozoa; Malacalcyonacea; Xeniidae
Exons: 3
Source: RefSeq, a predicted model, not a curated record